Molecule: long non-coding RNA, 374 nt
Filed under: Mytilus galloprovincialis (Mediterranean mussel)
Lineage: Eukaryota; Metazoa; Mollusca; Bivalvia; Mytilida; Mytilidae
Source: RNAcentral
CCAUGAAUACCUAGAGUUUGCGACUAUUUUAAACUUAUAUUCGAAAAGCAUAUUUUGGUAUACCAGCAAUAUGAAUAAAAUGAAUCAGACAGCAGCCCAACAACACAAAUAGCCAAAAGAAAUGUAGACUUCAACAUAUGAUCUUCAACAAUAGACAGUUCUGUACAAUACUUCAAGCUAAAGAACUCGGGCUUUUUAGAGAAAAGAGCACUUCUGUGGUUUUGUGGAAGCAUGCUCUUCACAAGGUUGGGAGUAAGGGGGUUUGAGCCCCUGUCUGAUCAAACCAAAUACUUUGAAAUUAGUAUUUUCUGCUUUAAUGCUUAGCAUACAACAUUUACAAGGUACGGCAAAGACUAGUUGGCUCUGAGUCAGUA